AGUAUAACAUGGGAAGAAGUUAUUGCUGAUGUGUGUGGACCUACUAGCACAUGGAGAACCGAAACUCAGAAGUAUAUCAGUCUCUACCCCUGUAUACUCAAUGGUCAGCGGAUUGUCCUCAGUUUCUGAUUUGAAUGUCUUGCGUUUCUUGGUCUUCCUUGGCUGUGCAUAGCAUCUCUCUCAACACAUUAGCAAAGGCGGCGAAAAUAUAGCAAUAUACAGGCAUUCUCAGACAUUCUCAGUCGCAAUCGAUGAAAAUGCGAAUACAGUCGUAUCAAGAUCCUAUUCAACAAAUCUCCGAAGAGAAGGAGAACUUGCGGAAGAAUCGGGAACGCUGAUUGCCACCAAUCAGAGAGUUCCAAAGGAAUUGUCCUGCUAAUAAAGCCUUCACUAGAAUUAGAUACCCUUGCAAUUUCUGCUAUCGGUUGAGAGAUUCGCCAAAGGACAAAUUCAUGACGCAAUUGACGCGUUUGCAGAUGUAUUCACAAGUAAUGCAGGAUAUGCCACCAAGCUCAAGAAGCAUAUUUGCUGUUACAUCGGCAUCAUCGACAAUGUCAUGCAAUCGCGCUGUUUCUAAGCGACAGUACUGAAGAUGACAGUAGUUUAAGAGAUACAGAAGUCGAAGAAAGAAAAGUAGAGAGAAGAAGCGAGAAAAGGUGACGAAAAGAGAAAGAAGAUGAAAAGUACUCGAUAAAACACAGCAAAGAAGCUAGCGAAAGAAAAGAAGAAAAGAAGAGAGCAAAGAAAGAAAUGAAAGAAGGGCGGAAGGAAGCCAAGAAAAUUCCUCUUUUGAGAGAUCAUCAGUCAGACCUUAAACUAAAAGUAAGGUCUGACUGAUAGAAUAAAAAUCUCGAAACUUCGAAUAUCAUAAUACAGGUAUCCUAAAAAAUUCUCAUAGACUGACAUUUUUCGAUAUCUUAUAUCUUGUAUAUACUUGAAAAGAACGGUUCUGAUUGUAAGUUUGUCACAAGUAUCAAAUUUCUUCAAUAAAAAUAAUAGAUGAGACAUAAGAAUCAGUUAUAGAAAUUGUAAAAAAGGGAUAAAUGAUUGAGAUAUAUAAUAUACCGAUUGUAAUUAAAUUUAAAUAAUAUAAUUCUUAAUAUUACAUUACAGCUGAACCGUGUAGAAUUAUUUGACAUUAAGAGAUGGUUUCGAUUAAUUAAAUUAAAUUAUAUUGAAUUUAAUUUAAUUGUUGAGAACUCUAUAGGGUACUAUGAUGCUCAAUGGCUCGAAAUGUUUUAUUUAAUUUAUUUAAAAUAUGUUCUGAGUAUAUAUAUGUUCCUAGUAGGGACAGUUCCUAGUAGGGUAGUUUUGUACUUGAAUCAAGAUUAUUAAAGUAAAACAUAUUCGAUUUAUUAUAAAAGGUCAUUUCUUCGAUAAAAUUUUUUAAUUUGAAGAAAUACAUAAACUUCUUUGCAACAUAGAAUACUUGUUUUUACAUAUAUGAAUAUGAAGAAUAAGGAGACCAAGAAUGGAAGAAUAGAAAACAUAUGUUAAAAAUCGACUUUAUUAUAAGUUAUAAUACACACCUGAAACAUCAAAUGGCGUGUAUCCCAAUCUAACCCUAACCUAACCUAACAUAUUGAACACACACGCGCACACAUACAUAUGCGCAUGUAUAACAUUGCAAUUCCAAAUGGAAUCCAAUAAACGAUUGAUUGAUUGGAACUGCGAGUAGAAACGCAUUA
Molecule: long non-coding RNA, 1688 nt
Organism: Atta colombica
Lineage: Eukaryota; Metazoa; Arthropoda; Insecta; Hymenoptera; Formicidae
Exons: 3
Source: RefSeq, a predicted model, not a curated record